This 253-nucleotide ribosomal RNA is filed under the name uncultured bacterium. RNAcentral describes it as "partial 16S ribosomal RNA". It matches the Rfam family "Bacterial small subunit ribosomal RNA", at positions 524 to 776 of the family's 1533-position model. The record is from RNAcentral.
UACGUAGGGUGCGAGCGUUAAUCGGAAUUACUGGGCGUAAAGCGUGCGCAGGCGGUUUUGUAAGCCAGAUGUGAAAUCCCCGGGCUUAACCUGGGAAUGGCAUUUGGGACUGCAAGGCUUGAGUGCGGCAGAGGAGACUGGAAUUCCUGGUGUAGCAGUGAAAUGCGUAGAUAUCAGGAGGAACACCGAUGGCGAAGGCAGGUCUCUGGGCUGACACUGACGCUCAUGCACGAAAGUGUGGGGAGCAAACAGG